Molecule: ribosomal RNA, 400 nt
Filed under: uncultured Chlorellales
Lineage: Eukaryota; Viridiplantae; Chlorophyta; Trebouxiophyceae
Description: partial small subunit ribosomal RNA
Rfam family: Eukaryotic small subunit ribosomal RNA
Source: RNAcentral
GCUUGUCUCAAAGAUUAAGCCAUGCAUGUCUAAGUAUAAGCUGCUUAUACUGUGAAACUGCGAAUGGCUCAUUAAAUCAGUUAUAGUUUAUUUGAUGGUACCUUACUACUCGGAUAACCGUAGUAAACCUAGAGCUAAUACGUGCGUAAAUCCCGACUUCCGGAAGGGACGUAUUUAUUAGAUAAAAGACCGACCGGCUUCGGCCGACCCUCGGUGAAUCAUGAUAACUUCACGAAUCGCAUGGCCUCGUGCCGGCGAUGUUUCAUUCAAAUUUCUGCCCUAUCAACUUUCGAUGGUAAGGUAUUGGCCUACCAUGGUUACCACGGGUAACGGGGAAUUAGGGUUCGGUUCCGGAGAGGGGGCCUGAGAAAUGGCCACCACAUCCAAGGAAGGCAGCAGG